Mastomys coucha (southern multimammate mouse) is the source of this 396-nucleotide non-coding RNA. The record is from the annotation of a RefSeq genome assembly. Lineage: Eukaryota; Metazoa; Chordata; Mammalia; Rodentia; Muridae.
UGGACCUCAGCCCACCAUAUGGACAAAUACCCUGCAGAUCAGUAUGAAGCCUCCAGAGGUGACAUCAAAAUGACCCAGUCUCCAGUCACCUUGUCAGUGAUUCGAGGAGAUAGAGUCACUAUUUCCUGCAGGGCCAGCCAGGGUAUUGGCACAAACCUCAACUGGCAUCAGCAAAAAUCACAUGAAUCUCCAAGGAUUCUUAUCAAAUAUGCUUCCCAGUCAAUCUCUGGGAUCCCCUCCAGGUUUAGUGGCAGUGGAUCAGGGACAGAUUUCACUCUCAGCAUCAACAGUGUGGAGCCUGAAGAUGUUGGAAUUUAUUACUGUCAACAGAGUGACAACUGGCCACCCACAGUGAUACAGACCAUAGCAAAAACCACAAGGAAAGGAGAGAUGUGA